AAUCAGUCGUUAAUUGAUACGAAGUCAUAACGUAAACGUGUUACUUUUAUUUUUAUCCUGUUUGGUCCUACGUUUGUAGGUGGUUACCUGAGGCUAUCCUUCACUGUUACUGUGGACCAGGUCUAAAGUCAGAAUGUUACCGUCGCUGCCGCUAUAUAUCGAAGGCGAGGUCGUUAAAGGUUUCGGCCGAGGAUCCAAAGAACUGGGGUGCCCUACAGCUAACUACUCUCUGGAGGUAGUGAAGCGAAUGCCAAAAAAUGUGAUUCCUGGGGUGUACUACGGUUGGGCACAGGUAGACUCAGGGGCCGUGUACAAGAUGGUCGCCAAUGUAGGCUGGUGCCCUUUUUACCAGAACAAAGAAAUGUCUGUUGAGACGCACUUGAUGCAUGAAUUCGACUCAGAUUUCUACGGGUCGAAUUUGAAAAUCGUCCUCGUCGGCUAUUUAAGGGACGAGUUAAACUUCGAUUCACAGGGUAGCUUGAUCGCUCAAAUCAAUGAAGACAUUCAGAACGCCGAUCAGAAACUAGACCUACCAGAAGCUAAGGAGAUAAAGAAUCAGUAUUUUUAUAAAAAAGCCGACUGAAACUGAAGACAAGCGAAAAUCGAUUAAAACCAAUUUUAAAAUAUCACCCCACACAUGGUGACAAAUACGCGAUGUAUUUACUAUAUGCAGAAAGUUUACACGCCACCGCCACCACCUCGGGAAAAAUAUUUUCAUUGAAGACCGCCAAGACAGAAAAUACUUGUUUACAAAUUAUCGCUUUUCUUUUGUAGUCUGUCUAUUACAUUAGGACGGCAACUAAUUAGUUUCUUUGUAGUUUAAAAUGAUUAAAAUAUUUUUGAAGCCUUGACAGAUUGACUAAAUGUUGGCAUAAAUUAUUAUAUGAAAAAGAACAAAAAGUUAUAAUAAAGCUUUUUCUCACAAGAUGAAUAUUUCGAUUUUCGCUUGUUAGAUUUUACUAAAACCAUGUUAUAGCAAAUUCCUUAUCUUGUGAUAUUUUUUAUAACAACAUUUAUAGAUUAUUAUAAAUUUUA
This is an RNA transcript of Hyposmocoma kahamanoa, 1035 nucleotides long. It is a transcript of the gene named putative riboflavin kinase, with no coding region annotated. Lineage: Eukaryota; Metazoa; Arthropoda; Insecta; Lepidoptera; Cosmopterigidae. The transcript has 4 exons. The record is from RefSeq and is a predicted model, not a curated record.